Mugil cephalus (flathead mullet) is the source of this 270-nucleotide long non-coding RNA. RefSeq lists it as uncharacterized. The record is from RefSeq and is a predicted model, not a curated record. Lineage: Eukaryota; Metazoa; Chordata; Actinopteri; Mugiliformes; Mugilidae. The transcript is spliced from 3 exons.
UUAACUGUGACGCUGACGUGAGGAAAAGACACAACAAACGAUUCCUGACUAAAGCUCUGCAGGAUUCAUACCUGCAGGGGGCAGUGUGUUCAAUUUACAGGAGAGGAAACAGGGUUCUGGUCUCGGUCCAGAUCUUCAUCGUGGCCUGAAGCUGAACAGGUGCUGGUCCCGUCUGGAGCCGGCAGUUUGCAGGUCGAGGCUCUGAAUGCAAACACCUGCUGCAGGUGAAGGAGACGUUACUACAUCACUCCGUGGUGGUAAAUGUGGAGG